CUUCAGCAGGCAUGCGCGCUGCCUUCUGGGCCAACUGUUGCGAGGCGCGAGGCGCUCGCCGGGCGCCAGCCAUUAGCUGUUUCGGUUUGCGCGCAAACGUCGAGUCUGGCUACCCAACUCAGGAUUUCCAGCCGGGACGCACAAACCUCGGGAGGGAAGACGGAAGCCGCUGCGACUCUAAAAGCAGCCCCAGGCUGGUUAAAGCGGUCCCCGGUUCGGAAACCGAGGCCUGAGUGCUCGGGCUUCACCUGGCCCUGCUGCCCGGAAGGCGCUGUCAGGCCUCCCUCCCGCUUUGGGGCUGGACCUGACAUCUCUUGUCUCGCGACCGCACUGAUCCAGGCUUUGACAUUUUCUCUCCAGCCCGCGACCCACGCAGCUCUGGAUUCCAGGCAGGAAGCUCGAGGGUCAGGGAAAGCACCUCUGCCGGUGAAUUAUUCACCCCGUAUUGAGUUAUCCUGACGCCCUGUGGCUUUGGGAAACCGCUCCACAACCAGGUGGAGCCACAGCUCUCCGCUAACGAAGCCUCACUCUGUCGCCCAGGAUGGAGUGCAGUGGUGCGAUCUCCGCUUACUGCAACAUCCGCCUCCCAGGUUCAAGUGAUUCUCCUGCCUCAGCUUCCCAGGUA
Callithrix jacchus (white-tufted-ear marmoset) is the source of this 625-nucleotide non-coding RNA. The record is from RefSeq and is a predicted model, not a curated record. Lineage: Eukaryota; Metazoa; Chordata; Mammalia; Primates; Cebidae.